This 447-nucleotide ribosomal RNA is filed under the name uncultured bacterium. RNAcentral's name for it is "bacterial SSU rRNA". It matches the Rfam family "Bacterial small subunit ribosomal RNA", at positions 329 to 793 of the family's 1533-position model. The record is from RNAcentral.
AACCAGACUCCUACGGGAGGCAGCAGUGAGGAAUAUUGGGCAAUGGAGGCAACUCUGACCCAGCCAUGCCGCGUGAGUGAAGAAGGUUUUCGGAUUGUAAAGCUCUUUCGGAUGUGACGAUGAUGACGGUAGCAUCUAAAGAAGCCACGGCUAACUACGUGCCAGCAGCCGCGGUAAUACGUAGGUGGCAAGCGUUGUUCGGAAUAACUGGGCGUAAAGGAUGCGUAGGCGGUUAAACAAGUUAUAUGUUAAAUAUAUAGGCUUAACAUGUAGAAAGCAUAUAAAACUGUUUAACUAGAGUGCAGGAGAGGUAAGUGGAAUUCCUAGUGUAGCGGUGAAAUGCGUAGAGAUUAGGAAGAACACCAGUGGCGAAGGCGACUUACUGGACUGUAACUGACGCUGAGGCAUGAGAGCAUGGGGAGCAAACAGGAUUAGAUACCCCUGUAC